RNAcentral lists this ribosomal RNA (520 nucleotides) under uncultured archaeon. RNAcentral describes it as "bacterial SSU rRNA". It matches the Rfam family "Archaeal small subunit ribosomal RNA", at positions 353 to 876 of the family's 1478-position model. The record is from RNAcentral.
CCAAGCCCGAAAGUGUGAUGGGGUUACCCCGAGUGCCUUCCUUAUCGGAGGGCUUUUCUCUGGUGUACCCCCUUAAAGGAAUAAGGAGGGGGCAAGAUUGGUGUCAGCCCCCCCGAUAAUACCAACCCUCCGAGUGGUAGGGAUGAUUAUUGGGCUUAAAGCGUCCGUAGCUUGCUUGGAAAGUCUUCCGUGAAAUCCAGCGUCUAAGCGUUGGGAUGCGGAAGAUACUAUCAAGCUAGGAGGCGGAAGAGGCCGACGGUAUUCCUAGGGGAGGGGUGAAAUCCUAUAAUCCUAGGAGGACCACCAGUGGCGAAGGCGGUCGGCCAGGACGCACUCGACGGUGAGGGACGAAAGCUGGGGGAGCGAACCGGAUUAGAUACCCGGGUAGUCCCAGCAGUAAACUGUGCAGGCUAGGUGUUGGGGUGGCUACGAGCCACCUCGGUGCCGCAGGAAAACCGUUAAGCUUGCCGCCUGGGGAGUACGACCGCAAGGUUGAAACUUAAAGGAAUUGGCGGGGGAG